This 28-nucleotide non-coding RNA is filed under the name Mus musculus (house mouse). The record is from RNAcentral. Lineage: Eukaryota; Metazoa; Chordata; Mammalia; Rodentia; Muridae.
UGACAAGUAAAAUGGGCACCUCAGUCCC